AUUGAACGCUGGCGGCAGGCCUAACACAUGCAAGUCGAGCGGAUGAAGGGAGCUUGCUCCUGGAUUCAGCGGCGGACGGGUGAGUAAUGCCUAGGAAUCUGCCUGGUAGUGGGGGAUAACGUCCGGAAACGGGCGCUAAUACCGCAUACGUCCUGAGGGAGAAAGUGGGGGAUCUUCGGACCUCACGCUAUCAGAUGAGCCUAGGUCGGAUUAGCUAGUUGGUGGGGUAAAGGCCUACCAAGGCGACGAUCCGUAACUGGUCUGAGAGGAUGAUCAGUCAUACUGGAACUGAGACACGGUCCAGACUCCUACGGGAGGCAGCAGUGGGGAAUAUUGGACAAUGGGCGAAAGCCUGAUCCAGCCAUGCCGUGUGUGUGAAGAAGGUCUUCGGAUUGUAAAGCACUUUAAGUUGGGAGGAAGGGCAGAAAGUUAAUACCUUGCUGUUUUGACGUUACCAACAGAAUAAGCACCGGCUAACUUCGUG
This 484-nucleotide ribosomal RNA is filed under the name uncultured bacterium. RNAcentral describes it as "partial 16S ribosomal RNA". It matches the Rfam family "Bacterial small subunit ribosomal RNA", at positions 30 to 507 of the family's 1533-position model. The record is from RNAcentral.